AUUCAGAGCUUGCGUUCUGUGGGUUGUAUGAUAAAGCUGUAAAACAUGUAAGAAUGGUUUUGCAAGUCUGAAUCGUUGAAGGCAGCAAUAAGUGGAUUUAGAGCCUGUUCUUGAGCAGACAAAGGGAAAAAGUGUGACUCUGAUGCUGAACUUGUCAUUUUUCAUUUGACUUGUCUUGAAUGAUUUAGGAAUAGAGAGAACUAGAAAAAGAGAGAAAUAGAAUCGAUUAUUGAGCAGUCCUCAAAUGCUCACCAUAAUUCAGUGUAGAGCCAAAGGGAAGGGUGAUGGAACAGAGCUCUGUGCUUUGGAAGGAAAUAAAUUUAAACCUGAUCUCCGCACAGAGUCUCACUAACUUCUGUGGUUUUAAAAUACAAAAUACGUUUAGGAAGUGUUGGAAGUUAGUAUUUUGGGAAAGAAACGGCAGUUCCACAGAACAUUCCAUUUCACAGAGGCUCUAGGAAGGAUUCAUGUUGUAACUGCUGUCACUGCAAUCAGUUGGUGGUUCAGCCUUGAAACGUGCACUUGGCCUUCUAUAAAGCGCUGUUUUGUUUGCCUUUCAUUGCUAUGAGUCUUGAUAAAUUGGAGAAGAGCCCAAGAGAAAUUUUUCAUCCCUUGAUAUAAAAGGGAUCGGUGAAUUUUAACUUUGGAGUCCUCUAUGCUAAGGAUGCUCAGCUUACAGAUGAUGAAAUGUUCAGUAAUGGUGAGUUUUUCACGUUCUCUUUAAUUGCUGUGCUGAUCUGAAUAAGAAAAAAACAAAAGCAAGAGGGAAAAAAAAGGAUGGUUUAUUAUUUUUUACGCUGUUAUGUUUGUUUCCUCAGUAUUUGCUGCAGCUCUGCUUACCCAAGCUUUGUGUUCCUUCUGUCCCACUGGGAGUUGCCCAGUUUGGUUGCAUCUGGUGAAAUUCACCCUGAGACCUUACACAACUAGCUCAAACUACGUGAGAGCCAUUUGCAGUUCUCUCCAGACACCUGGAGAAUGGGUGACGUUUCUGAGGGUCUGGCAAGUGUACUUCUAUCAAAACUCAGUCUGUGAAGUUUCUGGGGAAAACCCUUCUGUGUCCUGAAGGGUUCAAACUCCUGUGAGGAUCCAUUUAUCAGGUGCUCACCUGGAUGGUUCCAGCUCUUAAAGUGAACACUUGUACUCUUACCCUGUAGUUUACAUCUAUUGUAUUUUUGUUAUUUUGCAAGAUUUUUUGUCUUUGCAAAAUAUUGUGCAUUUCACUCUUUGGAACCUCUCAGAUGGUUCUUUGGUGCAGCACCACCCCAUGGGACACUUGGCUGCUGUCCUGAAGGGGAUGGUCGCUAGAAUUGUAAAUUCUGGAGAGUUUAUAAGUCUUCUGUCCCCAGGGAGGUACCAUGCUUUGUUUACUUUUGUUCUGUUUGUUAGGCGCUGCUUCUCGUUGCAAGUAUGAAUUUCAAACUGCCCUGUUCUUAUUUUAACUGUUUUCCUGGUUCUCUCCGUCCGACAGGGAAAGACUCUCAUAUCCUCGUCGUCGGGCUCGGUGCUGUCCAAGAAGAUACAGAGACUAAAAAAAUCAUAAGCAGCAAAAUAUGACUGCAGGGAAAAGAAGCUGGAGAGAACAGAAGGCUGCCAUUUGUGUGCCAUCGGUACUCACCAUGGAAGCGAGCUGGGGAUUGUUGCACCCGUUGGGAACAAACCGCUUCUUGUCACACAGAAAUGGAAUUGGGACGACGCCUCGGCCAGCCCCUCUCUGCCAUCGUCUCCUGAAUCUGCAGCAGAGCAGUUCCAGUCCAUCCGGGCACGUGCAAUCCAGUUCCUGAUGAUCUGAGCACACAGAGCAGCGCUCAGCUGCUGUGGGGGGCUCAGGGAAGGCAGUGUGUGCAUUGUCAUCUUCCUGAACCUACAGACAAAUCAAAACCCUCAGUGAGCAGAAUUUGUUGCAGACUCAGUGCACGCUGUGCCGGCCUCCCGGGAGUGUGAGGAGCUCAUGUGUGCUACUUUUUGCUUUAGGACGCUCUGAGGUAUUUAUUCCUUUUGGGAUACGUGAUGAGAAUUCCCAAGAGAGGUAGUUAUAAGGUAUGACAUUGGGAAAAAGCCUGUGUGGUUGGAAUGUUGUUGCUGUCAAAAGUUAAUUUUUCCUUCAUUCUUAGCCAGUAGUUAGCUUUUUGCUUUAUUUUUGUGGUAUCAGUAUUUUAUUGUUUAAAAAAUUCCUUCAAAAUAACUUCAGUGGUCGCCCACCAGUACCUUGUUCAGAUUUGCCUAUUUGCUUGUAGCUGAAA
Molecule: long non-coding RNA, 2240 nt
Organism: Melospiza melodia melodia
Lineage: Eukaryota; Metazoa; Chordata; Aves; Passeriformes; Passerellidae
Exons: 4
Source: RefSeq, a predicted model, not a curated record